GCAAACUUGGUCAUUUAGAGGAAGUAAAAGUCGUAACAAGGUUUCCGUAGGUAAGUAGAAGCUUUCCAUCUUACAACCCACUAUAGUCCAUAAUGUACUGACUUUUCCUUUUAGGUGAACCUGCGGAAGGAUCAUUAUAGAGUGGUUAAACCCCCCGUAAAAAGGGGGGGACCUCCCGUCCUUUGCAGGCUCUUUUUAAGGGGCUUUUUUUGACUUUCUGCUUCGGUGGGGUUAACCCACCGGAACAACCUCAAAACUCUGAAAAAACUUUUCUGUCUGAGGACCUUUUUUAUAAUAAAAAAAACUUUCAACAACGGAUCUCUUGGUUCUGGCAUCGAUGAAGAACGCAGC
Molecule: unclassified non-coding RNA, 351 nt
Filed under: uncultured fungus
Lineage: Eukaryota; Fungi
Description: partial contains small subunit ribosomal RNA, internal transcribed spacer 1, and 5.8S ribosomal RNA
Rfam family: Eukaryotic small subunit ribosomal RNA (bases 1-137)
Source: RNAcentral